CUCGUAGGCGGCCAACUAAGUCGGACGUGAAAUCCCUCGGCUCAACCGGGGAACUGCGCCCGAUACUGGAUGGCUUGAAUCCGGGAGAGGGAUGCGGAAUUCCAGGUGUAGCGGUGAAAUGCGUAGAUAUCUGGAGGAACACCGGUGGCGAAGGCGGCAUCCUGGACCGGCAUUGACGCUGAGGAGCGAAAGCCAGGGUAGCAAACG
This 207-nucleotide ribosomal RNA is filed under the name uncultured Acidobacteriota bacterium. RNAcentral describes it as "uncultured Acidobacteria bacterium partial 16S ribosomal RNA". It matches the Rfam family "Bacterial small subunit ribosomal RNA", at positions 568 to 774 of the family's 1533-position model. The record is from RNAcentral. Lineage: Bacteria; Pseudomonadati; Acidobacteriota.